Rhinichthys klamathensis goyatoka is the source of this 547-nucleotide long non-coding RNA. RefSeq lists it as uncharacterized. NCBI's taxonomy places the organism in Eukaryota, Metazoa, Chordata, Actinopteri, Cypriniformes, Leuciscidae. The transcript has 3 exons. The record is from RefSeq and is a predicted model, not a curated record.
CCCACGGAUGAGGAAGACUGAUGCUGCUGGAGUUUGCUGCUUUACAGAUAAAUGCAGCGUCAUCCCACCGACACUAUACAAGAAUAGAUUCAAAAGUGACCUGAAUGACGCUACAAGCUCUGACGUGGAUAUAAGCUCUUUUACAGUGAAAGCCAAUUUACGGCCUGAUUAGAGCAGAUCUGUCUGCCCAACCCCUCAAAGCUCUGGCCUGGGAGCUCCAUCACAGCCGAAAGGACACUUAAUUAGAAGUCCAGGAAGGAGAGAGACGGAGGCAGUGUGUCUGUGAACAACUAAGAUGAAUGUGACUGGGGCCAGACCUGUCAUCCUGUCCUCCAAUUAAAAGAUUCAAGAGUGUGAAGAAAACUGUCUGCGACUGAGACCAGAGGAAGGACAUGUGAAGCAUCCAGACGAGCCAUUUAUGUAAGAAUCUUUCAUCAGCUGCCUAUAUAUAUGAGAUAAAAACUUUAUGAGAAUCAGCUAAGUUUCUGUUUCAGUGAAAAAGCAUAUAUAUCUGUCAUUCUGUGAUGAUUAUGAACAUCUCAAAGUA